ACUGAACAUCAGACAGAAUUCCGGGGAAGAGAUCUCCUCUCCCUCCACGGUUCUGACCUUGCUGAUCUUGCUGCAAAAUUCUACUUGGAGGAGGGGCAGUCAUUUUUAUUCCUAGCACAAAUACCACCAACCAAGUCAUUUCUUCUAGUCAUUUUGGGGAAAGAAUUCAGACAACACUUCUACAAAUAUUUAUUAACCAUUUAUGGUGUUGUUCCAAGCGCUGCACUUGACCCAAAAGAUGAAUAGAUACAACUCUACUCCCGCACUGUGGGAAGUCAGGUUAUGCUGAAAGAGAGAGAGAGAGCAACUGGGGUGAGGCAGGAGCCACGGGUCCAGCAGUAGGAGAGCAUCAGAUGGCUUCCCAGAGAGGGACUGCUUCAUGGAGCCUGGGAGGAGCACUCAGUUGAACUGAAGCUACAGGGAAGAUCAGCAAGGAAGAGAAGGGGCUGGACUCGUCAUUGGGAUUCUCCUUCAGGACUCUCCCCUUUCCCCACCCCACCUUCACCUCUUGUCCUGGUGACUGUACCUGUUCCUAACCCACAGAGAGCCAUCAUGAUACAGGAGUGAUCUCUGGCCCAGCUGGCCAGGAAGGCACUUUGAGACCAUCAGACACACCAAAGCAAAAGAGCACAAGACCUGAAGUAUAGAGACAAGAGUUCACCAGCCAGCCCAGCAUGCUGCUUCAUCAGCACAGCCUCUUUCCACCAAACCCAGAGCCAAGUGUGCUUCCAGCAUAGGUUCUACAGUAAAACCCACACUCCAG
This 763-nucleotide long non-coding RNA is filed under the name Heterocephalus glaber (naked mole-rat). Its description in RNAcentral is "lncRNA (ENSHGLG00100052078.1)". Lineage: Eukaryota; Metazoa; Chordata; Mammalia; Rodentia; Bathyergidae. The record is from RNAcentral.